AUUCCAGCUCCAAUAGCGUAUAUUAAAGUUGUUGCAGUUAAAAAGCUCGUAGUUGGAUUUCUGGCAGGAGUGACUGACCACAAACUCUGUUUGUGAGUUGUGUCAUUCUGGCCAUCCUUGGUAAGAUCCUUUUUGGCAUUAAGUUGUCGGGAAGGGGAUGACCAUCGUUUACUGUGAAAAAAUUAGAGUGUUUAAAGCAGGCUUAUGCCGUUGAAUAUAUUAGCAUGGAAUAAUAAGAUAGGACUUUGAGUCUAUUUUGUUGGUUUGCGAGUCAAAGUAAUGAUUAAUAGGGACAGUCAGGGGCACUCGUAUUCCGUCGAGAGAGGUGAAAUUCUCAGACCAAUGGAAGACGAACCACUGCGAAAGCACUUACCAAAGAUGUUUUCAUUA
This 390-nucleotide ribosomal RNA is filed under the name Skeletonema sp. Its description in RNAcentral is "partial small subunit ribosomal RNA". It matches the Rfam family "Eukaryotic small subunit ribosomal RNA", at positions 582 to 975 of the family's 1831-position model. The record is from RNAcentral. Lineage: Eukaryota; Bacillariophyta; Thalassiosirophyceae; Thalassiosirales; Thalassiosiraceae.